RNAcentral lists this ribosomal RNA (309 nucleotides) under Triticum aestivum (bread wheat). Its description in RNAcentral is "partial small subunit ribosomal RNA". The record is from RNAcentral. Lineage: Eukaryota; Viridiplantae; Streptophyta; Magnoliopsida; Poales; Poaceae.
AUGGCCAACCACGGAGUCGCCGCUCUCCUGAUCGCGUCCCUUCUCGUGGUGGCGGUCACCCUCACCGACGCCAGGAUCACCGUGAACGUGCAGCGCGACAGCAUUAAAGGAAGUUAUGCGGCGAACAAGAAGGCGGUGCCGGCGCUGACGUGCAACAAGGUGAGCGCGGUGCAACAGGGCGAGACUUGCUCCUCACUCGCGGAGGACGCCGGGCUGACCCAGGAGGACUUCCUGGGCUUCAACCCCAACAUCAACUGCGUCAGGAUCUUCGUCGGCCAGUGGGUCUGCCUCGACGCAUCCUCUGCCUAA